RNAcentral lists this ribosomal RNA (551 nucleotides) under uncultured archaeon. RNAcentral's name for it is "bacterial SSU rRNA". It matches the Rfam family "Archaeal small subunit ribosomal RNA", at positions 326 to 879 of the family's 1478-position model. The record is from RNAcentral.
CGGGGUGCAGCAGGCGCGAAACCUCUGCAAUGCACGAAAGUGUGACAGGGUCAUCUCGAGUGCCAUCCGCUGAGGAAGGCUUUUGUCCGGUCUAACCAGCCGGGCGAAUAAGGGGAGGGCAAGUCUGGUGUCAGCCGCCGCGGUAAUACCAGCUCCUCGAGUGGUUGGGACGAUUAUUGGGUCUAAAGCGUCCGUAGCCGGCUGGGAAAGUUCUCCGUAAAAUCCAACGAUCCAAUCGUUGGAUCGCGGGGAAUACUUUCCGGCUUGGGGGCGGGGGAGGUCGGCGGUAGUCCCGGGGUAGGGGCGAAAUCUUAUAAUCCCGGGAGGACCACCAGUGGCGAAGGCGGCCGACUAAAACGCGCCCGACGGUGAGGGACGAAAGCUGGGGGAGCGAACGGGAUUAGAUACCCCGGUAGUCCCAGCUGUAAACGAUGCAGGCUAGGUGUUAGGACGGGUACGGCCCGUUCUAGUGCCGCAGGGAAGCCAUUAAGCCUGCCACCUGGGGAGUACGGCCGCAGGGCUGAAUUCUAAAGGAAUUGGCGGGGGAGCAC